Molecule: long non-coding RNA, 472 nt
Organism: Quercus robur (English oak)
Lineage: Eukaryota; Viridiplantae; Streptophyta; Magnoliopsida; Fagales; Fagaceae
Exons: 2
Source: RefSeq, a predicted model, not a curated record
UAAAAGGACUAGAGAUGUUGGCCAACAAAGGAACUUAGCUGCCUAUAUAUUGUGAUAUUCAUGCAUCCUUUCCACAAGGAAACGUGGCGUUUGAGUUGAUAAAGAGACGCCUCCUCAGUUUUCUUAUACUUUUGACCCUAUUUCUUGCAUGGAGCUUGUUUGUUACCGGUGAAAAGACGGAGAAGUUAACCUUUGCAAGAGACGAGAAAAAAUUAUAUGGAGCCAUGAGUGCAAAACAUAUUAAAGGCCAACCUUUCAACUUUGCAAAACUAGAGGAGCAGCCACCACCAAUAAGGAAGCAAACGCUAACAUCAAGACUAUCAGGGCGAGGACCUGCUCGACCACCGCCACCAUCUCCUGUUAGUUCUCCAGGGCAUACCCCGUAGGCCUUCACUGUUAUUGCAUGUAUUAAACACUCUUAAUGUCAUCAAUAAGGCCAAUACCAGAAUUAAUAAAACUUGUUUAAUGUGAA